AGGGAGGCUUUGGUCCUGGAGGACCUGGAGGCCUGGCUGCGCCUGUUUGCACACCGGAGGACCGGCAGCCGCCCAACGCAGAGAACCGACCAGGUGGAGGGCAGGGUGACGAGCUGACGUCACCUCUUACCCCAGGCUCCGCGGGGACAGCUGCCGCCUCCAGAGCCUGCCGGGGAGGGGCGGCCUGGCUCCGGGGCCCGACAACCAGGGACCCCAGUGAUGGAGAAGAGGAGGGCCCGCCCGUGCUCAGAGCCUCCGCCAGGCUCCCGGGGGAGCUCAGAGCCCCGGCCGCGCCCGGGGGAGCCCAGGGCUCUGGGGGCAGAGGCGGAGGGCUGCGAGGACCUGCUCCGAGACUGCGGAGGUGGCCGGGCUGCCCGACGGGCCCUCUGCAGGGCCCUGAGCCUGGAAUCCUGCACAGCGGCUGUCGUUUUACUCCCAGAAUCUAGCAAAAUGCUUAGAGAACGUCUGGCGAACGAGCGGCAUCCCCGUGUGGAUGGACACGUGUGUGGCUGUGCGGAUUCAGAGGGAGUGAGGGCCUCGGCUGUGGCCAGAACAGCCCUGCUCUGAGCUACCCCCAUUCCAACGCCACCGAGCAGGGGAAAGGCUCGAGAGGCCUAAGUGGCUCCCCCAAACAGCGGGGGGCGGGGCCGGAGGCGGUGGCUGCCCAGACUACAGAAGAGGAGCUGCAGGCGCAGAGCGCUUCCAAGUUCGUGGAGUUGUCUGCACCCACGGGACCAGACUCUGAGCCCAGAACGUUUACUAGAGACCAUUUCAGAGGAGGCAACGAGGCCAGAGAGACCACACGCAGGUUCAUGGCAGAGGGGGAGCAGAGCCCCGGUCCUCUGACCCCAGACCAGUGCUCCUUACCAUUGACUCACCUGAAAGCAGGGCCUUCCGGGCUGCAGAGCCCUGCCUCAAAUUUCUACCUGGAAGGGGUCUGACUUGCUAGAAGGUGAUUUUAUUCUGGGGUCCUUCAGGAGAUUGUUGGAGACCCCAGAGGUUAAGUGAACUACACUGUGACGGGCUCACCUAUCUGGUGAUAAGCUGGUGGCCAGUGAGGGACCAAACCAGCCUUAGCCUCUAUUCCUCCAUCUAUCACUCAUCUGUCCAUCCAUCCAUCAUCCAUCCACCCCUCCGUCCACCCAUCCAUGUAUCCCUCCAUCCUACCAUCCAUCCAUCUAUCAUCCAUCCAUCCAUCCCUCCAUCCACUC
This is a long non-coding RNA of Canis lupus familiaris (dog), 1211 nucleotides long. RefSeq lists it as uncharacterized. The transcript is spliced from 3 exons. Lineage: Eukaryota; Metazoa; Chordata; Mammalia; Carnivora; Canidae. The record is from RefSeq and is a predicted model, not a curated record.